GGAGACGAAGGGAGUCAGGAAGCAGGUGCAGGUGCCUCUCCCUCUCCAGCACACAACUAAGAUCUGCAGCUUCUAGUGAACCGUCUAAGAGGAAGACAAUUAACAAAGUCAGAUAUGGCAACUGCUGGAAACAGACGUAGCAAGGAUGUUGACCAUGAUAUCUCAUCAUUUUGGCUUAUAUGAAGUGGGACUAAAGUCUUCCUCUGCUCUGAAAAGCCCAACUCCAAGCACGGAAACGAGUACUCAGUCAGACAUUCAUGAUACGGAUUCAAGUGAUGACAGUAUGGAUUCACCACCUUUUAUUGAUGUCUUCAUCAGAUGCUCGAAUCAACCUCAGGUCACUCCAUCAGAACAUCAGCUCAUACAUGAAUGCAUAAAUACAUAAAUGAUCUGAAAACAUUGGCAGAUGAAUUUACAAUGGCAGCUGAAAAGAUCGAAUCGGAGAAAAAUAAAAGAGGGUCUCCUUACAAGAGCAAGGAGGCUGUUGGAGCAUAUGUGGCUGGGGGAGUGUGCGCCACAGUGGGUUUACUUUUAGUCCCCUUGACAGGGUUUGCCUCUAUUGCCGGUGCAGGGGCAGGCAUCACGUUGACUAUUUUGACUGCUGUUAUUCUUUACUUUAGAAUAAUUAUUAAUGACGUCACAAACCAAGAGACCUUGGCGGAUUAGGAGAAAAAGUUUUUGGUCAAGAGUGGACCAAUUGUGGAUCGUCUGCAUCGUAUCGAUGCAGAUAUCAAAGAAUUUGUUACAAUGUCUUCCAUGUCCCGAGCUGGAGAUGAGCCACAUCAGCUUAAGAGAGCAUCUGAACUGAGUGCUAGAAUUCUUAGUGAAGCAGUAGACUUGAAAAGGGAGUUAUCUGUCUUCUCAGGUAUUGUUAGUGAUAUCUUUGGGGAUGUCAGAAAGAUCGGCAGUGGCCGUGAUAUUGGUUCAGAGUUCAUGACAAGUAUCAAGAAAUCAUCUGAAUUGUGUCAGGAGACUAUAAGCAAAUUUGAAAAGAUGAGAGAAGAACUUGAAAAAAAUGUCUGAUUUAAAUUAGGAACAAAAUACAAAUGAAUAAUUUGUUGAAAUGAACCAAUUAGUUGCAAUAAAUCAUUAUCAUUACCUGGCAUGAUCUUGGGUAUCAUCCAGAUCGGUGAGAACAACGAUAAUGAGAGAGUAGGGAUUCAGCUAGGCUCAGUCAGGAAACUAUAGAUGACUAGAACAACUACAUGAGAAAAACAAUGUUAGAAAUGGAAGAAAAUUCUGAAAUUGAGUUAGAUUUUGUUUACUCAGCUUAUCAGCCCUCCAUCAUGCAGUGUAUUAUGUUACCCUAAGGAUAGUGUAAAUAAUUCAGCAUAUUAAUGUUUUAAAAAAUCUAUUUUGUAAAAUGUACUGUAUGUGAUGUUAUAUGAGUGACACAUUUCAAGGUAACUUUUAAUUUGACAUUUUUAUUAAAUGUAUUGAAGUGUAUCAAAAUGUACAGUCAGCUUGAACUAACUUUUGUAAAAUAUACAUGACGCGUGAGUGACAAGUGAACUUUUAAAUUAAUUUAUUUUGACAAAAUAUAUGUACAGUUAACUUGAACUAAAGAAAAAUAAAAUAAAUUCAUAUUUGUUUAAC
Oncorhynchus tshawytscha (Chinook salmon) is the source of this 1596-nucleotide long non-coding RNA. The record is from Ensembl. Lineage: Eukaryota; Metazoa; Chordata; Actinopteri; Salmoniformes; Salmonidae.